RNAcentral lists this ribosomal RNA (177 nucleotides) under Salmonella enterica subsp. enterica serovar Newport. Its description in RNAcentral is "partial 16S ribosomal RNA". It matches the Rfam family "Bacterial small subunit ribosomal RNA", at positions 281 to 457 of the family's 1533-position model. The record is from RNAcentral. Lineage: Bacteria; Pseudomonadati; Pseudomonadota; Gammaproteobacteria; Enterobacterales; Enterobacteriaceae.
CCCUAGCUGGUCUGAGAGGAUGACCAGCCACACUGGAACUGAGACACGGUCCAGACUCCUACGGGAGGCAGCAGUGGGGAAUAUUGCACAAUGGGCGCAAGCCUGAUGCAGCCAUGCCGCGUGUAUGAAGAAGGCCUUCGGGUUGUAAAGUACUUUCAGCGGGGAGGAAGGUGUUGC